Numida meleagris (helmeted guineafowl) is the source of this 1199-nucleotide long non-coding RNA. RefSeq lists it as uncharacterized. The transcript is spliced from 2 exons. The record is from RefSeq and is a predicted model, not a curated record. Lineage: Eukaryota; Metazoa; Chordata; Aves; Galliformes; Numididae.
UCUCUACCGGCUUUUCCCGGAGCAAACUUUCGGGCUGCAAAGCGAAGUCUACUUUUCUUCCGGCCGAGCGCGGCACGUUUUCGGAAGAACCCUCGCUGGCCGCGCUGCCGCAGGGGCUCCAUCCGGGACAGGUCGCUGCUUCGCCUCGGGCCGGGUUCGUGGUGAGAAAGCACAUUUAAAACAAACCAAGGAGACCACCACCAGCACCGUCGUGCGGCUCUCUGGUUAACCCCCCCUAAUGACUGACGGCUGGUGCCACUGAGACAAAUAAAUACAUCGUAAGGAGGGCAAUGGGUCGCGAGUCGUUUUGGCCCUAAGCUCGGACUUGGGAGAAAUGGAAACCAGAAUGAAUAGGACUCGGGAGAGCGGACGAGUUUGAAAAACGCCUUUCAAAAUCCGCGGGAAAGGGCCCGAAGUGACUACGAUGGAAAGCUUAAAAAUAACAGUUUCAAAGCAAGCCGUCGGAAACAAAAGCCGGAGCGGAGGGGUGAAACAGAAAUGAGAACCCCGUGCCGGGAGCAGUCGCGGCGCUCGCUCCGAGCGGGGCGGCAGGGAAGCGAGCCCCUGCCCGCACAGCGACCCGAAACGGGACCGUGUGUCCUGCCCUGCAAAGCCUUCCUCUCCCUCCUGCACCUUUCCCGAGAAAAGGCUCCGCAUCCCCGAGACCCCUCGGCCAAGGCGGUGUGAGGACCCCCGCCUCCACCGCUCGUACCUUUUCCAUGGAGCAAGUCCAUGGGGAAAAAGCACCGCUGGCUAUUUCUGUCGGGCUUAUUUCCCUGCUAAUUCUGUUUUGCCAUUGAUGCUCUGGAGGCUCGCGAGGAAGUAAAGUUGGGAAGGACUUCGGAAAGGCGAGAAGCCGGAGGGAGAGGGGGCUGCCGGGCAGGGAGGGUUUGGGAUGCCCGUGGCGUGGGGGCUCCCCGGCUACACUAGAGCUCGACAGGAUCAGCAAAGCCCUCCCCGAUGUGAGCGGUUGGAUUGUUGGUGGCUGUUUGGUUUUUGCUUUUGUUUUUUUUUCAAUGCGGAGUUAACUAAGGUCCUUCGCUAGAAAGAACUUUUUCUGGGGGAGUGAUGGAAGCUAACUCUAGUGAGAACAACGAGAAGUUCAGCAGGAAUUACGGCCCCGGUGAGCUGCGGCGAGCUACUUCGGCCGAGAGUGAAUAACAAUAAAUAAAUAAAUGAAAGAGUGAAAGGGAAAAAAA